GCUCAUAACAACAUCAGCUGCUCCUCGUUGUACUAAUGGGACUCUCAAUAUACUCCACCACUCACACACUCCUGUGUGUUUUUGGAGCUUGUAAGCAUGUUUUUUCAUUUUGAGUGUCUGAUUCAACGACUCCGUGUCAUUGCGGCAAGCUGAUUUUUAUCACUAAAACUUGUUUGAAUUCAUUCUACACCAACGCAUGGGAAAGGAGGAGCAUAGUGAUGGCUGGACACUGUGCUGCUGAUGCUGGCUUUGUCUGACCACAUAAACAGAAAAAAAUACGUCAUUGUUGGAGAUGGAGUGACAGAUCUGUGUGGAUAUCAGAGAAGCAGUGGGAGGAACAUUCUCCGCUCUCACAUUGCACAACCAGGGCCUGUUGAUGACAUCGGAUUUUAUUCGUGCAAAUCGAAAAGGAAUUUGAUCAUUCAGCUGUGGAGCAACGUUUUAACUCAUUUAAAUGUUUAGCAUAAAGCUCUAAAUUCCCAGUUAUUGCUCAUACACAAAGUAUUUUGGUAAAUUUUGGAAGUAAAAAAGAAGUUAUUCUGAUUUCUUUUAGUUUCUACAUGUUUGUUUGUUUUUUUUUCAAUCAUUCACAUUAAUUAUUUAUUUUUUCCCAAUGGCCAAAAAAUUGAAUUUCUGGAAAUUCUGUUUUGUUGUGUCAUUGUUCAGCAUUGAAUGUCUUUGUCAGGUCACACUCCACAGUGGUGGUUAAUGGAAUAGAUAAAAACACACGGUGAUAUUAAGCUAAUUUCUUCUCUGUUCCAAGUGCUUGUUCAUAAGAAUCUAAAAUACGUAGGCCUCAUUUUUAAAUACUAAAAUUCUGUGUUGGGAAAAAUAUCACAUCUCAUACUAAAAGCCAAAAGAGUCCUUACUUUUUCAUGUCAAACUUGCAUAGAUAAAAUAAUUCAUUUGUUUAUUCUGAUUGAAUAUGUCCCAUAAGUCGAUUUUCAUUUUGUCCGCCAGUGUGCUGGCCUAAAGGGUUUAGAUUCGGAUAGGAUUUAGACAGAUUAUUAUUAUUUAUAAACCCAAUACACAGAGGAUCUCUCUAAAACUACAUAGUAUUAAACUAAAUACUGCUCCGUUAUAGGCACAUUGUAAGGAGCUUGGUUAGCACUAAACCAGACCACCAGAGGGCGUCUGGCAGGUGUUUCCGUAUGUGGGCGGUGCUACCUGUCUCAUGUUUCCCGCCAUUGCAUCUGAUCCUUGUGGACUUUAUUUAGAUGCCUUAUAUAUGUUCAUUUCAUUGACUUUGUGUUUGUAGCUGUUGUUAUCAUUGUUAUAGAUGUUGUUAUAUUGGCACUUUCAUGAUAGCUAUGUUUCAUGUCAUUCAUGUUAUUACAGUUAGAUUGCCAAGUUAUAGUGCAAAGUUAUGUCAAGUUAUAGAUUGCCAAGUUAUGUCUAUGUCUCAUGUUCAUUGUAAGGUUGUACUGUAGUUUCAGGCUUUGUUUAAUUAAAAGGUGCUUACACUGGAAUCCCUGCACUUGGGUCUAAUUACCUAUACAGGACGGAUGCCGGCCUCGAUCCGCCCUUGUACGUUACACACAUACAGUACACUGGUGCAAUAAAUGUGGAUCACUUUUUGGUGAAAGGUUUGUAGACACUUGACUAGAGGGCUGCACUGGGAUUGGGCUCCCGCGGGACCCAUGGGACCCAACGCAAAUCUCGCGGGAGCGGGCGGUUUUAUCUUUGCCCCGGGCGGGAGUGGGAGGUCAGAAAAUUU
Long non-coding RNA from Tachysurus fulvidraco (yellow catfish), 1717 nucleotides. RefSeq lists it as uncharacterized. Lineage: Eukaryota; Metazoa; Chordata; Actinopteri; Siluriformes; Bagridae. The record is from RefSeq and is a predicted model, not a curated record. The transcript has 3 exons.